RNAcentral lists this ribosomal RNA (255 nucleotides) under uncultured bacterium. RNAcentral describes it as "partial 16S ribosomal RNA". It matches the Rfam family "Bacterial small subunit ribosomal RNA", at positions 524 to 776 of the family's 1533-position model. The record is from RNAcentral.
UACGUAGGGGGCAAGCGUUUGUCCGGAUUUAUUGGGCGUAAAGAGCGUGUAGGCGGCCAUACAGGUCAGCUGUGAAAACUCGAGGCUCAACCUCGAGACGUCGGUUGAAACCGUAUGGCUAGAGUCCGGAAGAGGAGAGUGGAAUUCCUGGUGUAGCGGUGAAAUGCGCAGAUAUCAGGAAGAACACCCGUGGCUAAGGCGGCUCUCUAGUACGGUACUGACGCUGAGACGCGAAAGCGUGGGGAGGCGAACAGG